Molecule: long non-coding RNA, 6437 nt
Organism: Mustela erminea (ermine)
Lineage: Eukaryota; Metazoa; Chordata; Mammalia; Carnivora; Mustelidae
Exons: 3
Source: RefSeq, a predicted model, not a curated record
AAUAAAUACAUAAAAUCUUAAAAAAUAAGCACAACAUAUAUAAUAGUUCAUUAUAUUUUAGCUUAUUUAAUACUCACAACAACACUGUAAAGUUGGUCUGUGUGUAUUUUGCCAUUUACAAGUAAGGGAGUUAACAUACAGAAAGAUCAGUAACUUGCCCAAGGUUCUGUAAUUUGCAAGUGUCAGAGCUGGGAUUUGCGCUCGGCAGUUUAUACCCAGGAAUUAUACUCUUAAAGCCCUAUGGUACAAUUAUGAGUCGUAUGGUAUUUAAACUUCUGUUGUUUGAUUGAUUGACUUUACAUAGUGACACAUGACACUACCCUAGUGUUGUCCAGCUGAACUUUCUGUGAUGACGAAAAUAGUCUACAAUUGCCCUGUCCAAUAAGAAGCCACCAGAUAGAUACCUGUGGUGUUAAGCCCUAGAAAUUGUGCUAUUGUGAAUGAUGAGCUGGAUUUAACAUUUCACUUCAUUUUAAUUAAUUUAAAUUUGAAUAGCCACCAUGGCUAGUAGCAUUCAUUGGGCUGCACAGAUCGAUAGAAGAUUUAAAAAAAUGGACACCUCAUCCCUUUGUCAUACUUUCUGACCAGCAAUGAUGGAUAAACUACCUUUGUUUGUUUCUGAUGCUAGUCCCUUCCCUUACUUUUAAGUCCGGAAAACAUGCCUCUAUUUGUAUCUCUUGAUUGAGACAUUGGAUUGACUGCACCGUGCAAGAUGGGCAAUUCAUUUGUGGGCCCCUCCCCCACAUCUUUUUCUCCGUCUAACUUGCAUUGGUUAUUUUAGUUUUCAUAUCAGUUAGGAUUCUUCUGAUUGCAAGUGGGAAAAAAGAGCCCAAUAAACCUGAUUUGAGUAAUAAAAGGGGAUUUUAUGGCUCAUAUAAAUUCCAAGAUUAGAGGCAGCACUGCCAUUCGGGAGGCUGCAUUCAGAGCUCAAACACUGGGAGCCGGACUUGAGUCCAGCUCAGCUCUCCUUGGUCUGGAAGCUUCAUUCUCAAAUCCUUCAUGGUGGCCACAGCUGCAGGAGCUGUAACUUCAGAUCCUCGUAGAGUCUAGACUAGCGGGAAAGAAUGCAUAAGCCUUUACUGUUGUGCUGUUUAACUGUGGCCACUGUAAUGCUGAGUGCACACACAAACACACACACAGAGUCUCUGUGGUGUACAGCAAUCAUGUAUCUUACAAUCAUGUGGCUGAGGUCUGCUGAUCUAGGUUGGGCUUGGCUGAGUGACCCUGCUGAUCUUGGUUGGGACCUCUCACACCUCAGGGCUGGGAUAGCUCAGGGAUGCUCCAUGUGCCUCUCAAGUUUUUCCUGGGCCUAGAGAUGACAGAGGCCCAGGAGCAGCCACAUAAGUAUAUCCCAUUAGCUAAACAAAGUCCCAUGACUGCACCCAAAAUCAACAGAAUGGGGAAGUAUAUUCUUCCCAUAGAAGUGAGAAGGAGGGAGGGAAUAUUUAUAAGCAGGUAAGCUUGACUUGCUUAUUUCAAAACCAGUAACUGUGGCCAAGGGCCUGGGUCAUACAAUUUGGCCUAGGUCUUAGGUCCACAGUCCAUCCUGGAGAUAGAGUUUGCAUUCAGAUUCACCCAAAACAUGUAGCCCAAGAGUGGAAGAGGUAUGUUUACCCCCUGCGAAAGAUCAGAGUUCUACUGGCCACACAGAGAGGAAAUGAUUGGGAGAUGGCUGACCACAUGAUUAUGACUUUAAACAAUAUUUUAAACUCUGUUUCUUGAGACUUUGGUUCUAGAUUGUAUCCCCAGACCUCAUACUCAUGAGUUCUUCAGUCCACACCGCCCACUUGAAUCACCUUGAUCAUAUAAGAUACUUGUGUCUAUUUAGGAAGGAAAGACUAUGUGAUUAACAAAGGUGGCUUGGUGUAGGUAGUUAAGUUCUCUGCCACUGGCGAAGCAUGUUUCCUCAAUCAGCAUAUCUCUCUAAAGGUGGAGACCACCUGUGUAAUGGACAAACUUCAAUGGACAAACUUCCCUUUAGGAUAUUAGGGUAUUAGGGAAUCAUGCAGAUGGUGUUCUUUAUCCUACCAAAACACCAAAACCAAAGAACUUCCCUGAGGAACACCAAAUACCCAUACGAAAGGCCUUAGUUCUGUCUAGGUAGCAAUCUUAUUUUCUUCAUAGGGGAGAACCCAGGGAGCAAGUGAAGUCUCCGAGUCUUCUCCUGCCAGCCUAUUUGCAUGCAUAGAAAGGCGAAGAAGAAUGAGAAAGGCCAGAUGAUACAGCUGGUCUCUGAACAACCUUUUGGGCUCCUUUUCCAAUUCAGAGCUGGGACUGUGUUAAUGCCCAGUGUGGAGAUUCCCCCAAGGCUUCUUCAGAAAGAAUAUCUCUAUCCGUUUUACAACCUUCUCUUGAGUAAACCUGGGACGCUGCUUCCUCUCUUCUGCUUUGGCCAUCAGUACCAUUCACUUCCUUUCCAUCUUACAGAAAAUUCUCAAAUCUCAGCAGACUGUCCCCUUUUUAUCUCCGGUUAUCCAUUUGUUUGUUUUGCUGACUCUUCAGCAGAAUUUUGAGAAUAUAGAAAAAUGCAUGUGCUCAGUCUUGAACACACACACACACACACACGUAAUAUUGUAGAUAGAAUUUUUAAAACAAAAUUGGAUCUUGCCUAUUUUGCCACUGGCUUGAUCGGAUACUGUUCUCAAAGAGUCUCAAAAGUUGUUUGUCAGAGUCACCCUGGGAAAAUGGGAAUUUCUUUUUACUCCUUUUUUUUUUCUUUUAAAUAAAAUUAACAGGGUUUUGGCUUGCUUGUUUUGCUAUCCAAAUGAAUGAAUGAUUCAGAUUUCAACUUUAGGGAUGGUAUGAUCUAUUACACAGAAAUUAAAUUGAGUUGGCAUUGAAAAGCAGGAAAUGGUACACAUGAAAAUCAAUUGAUUCUAACCUCUGGAGGUUAAAGUGUUGUUGUCAUCGUUUGUUUGCUAGUUUUUAAUCCUGAGCAAUUCUAAGCCAUGCCUUUUCAAACUAGAGCUUUUACUUCAAGUCCUGAGGGAGGUUGGUGAGGAAGGGUAGCAAGGAACCCCCAAUUAGAGUGGGUGAGUGACCCAGGAAGGAAACAGCUGUUUUAUGUGGGAUCUAAAAUCCAGCAAAUAUCUAUUAGUAGGACUAUGUAUAUAUUUACUGUAUGCCAAUGAUAUUCAGAAUCUCUAGGUCUACCGAGGAUGGCUAAAACACACAGAGAGUAAGAGGAAGGCUCUCUGUCUGGUGGGCUUCAGAUAGAAGAGAUGCACAUCAUUCGGAUAGACACUUUCCAGGAGAGAAUGAUGACUCACACGGGGAUGACUUAAAUGGCAUCUGGUUUCCAUUUUCUUUGUUUCUUCUCUUGGACUCCAUUCAGAGGCACUUCCUUCCAGCUGGAGCUUUUAAUGGCAUAAUGUGAAGGCAAGAUCCACAGAAGUGGGUUUAGAGGAGGGACUUGAAGGAGAAAAUGCAGAUCGUCAGGGGAGACUAUGGAAAAUUACACCCAGAUGGGUGGUAACAGAGAAUGUACACACAUCCAGACUAAAAUAUACCAAUUAAAAUAUUUAGGGAAAUGCAAAGAAGUAUAUAAUUUUUAAUAUGUGAUAACAAAAAUUUCAACUGAAUAAAAAGUCAAAGAGAUAUACUCCUGAUGAUAAUUAACAGCACAUUAAUGCCAUUUCUGUUUCCGGCCUCGGAAAAUAUGUCGGCUUUCUUUAUUUAAAUGAAUGUAGCAUAGCACUACUUGUGGUUUUGCUAUGAUCUAUCUAUUCGUUCUACACACUAGCUCCAUUCACGGUGGUGAUACCCUUCUUCCUACUUCAUAGCUGGAGAAGCACUGUUGAACCUUGUCUGCUGUUCCAAACUGGUCUGGGAGGUCGGGUAGGACCAUCAUCUGGGUAGAGGGAUUGGCUUGUGUUGUUAUAAUAACCAGCAACCCAUCAGAGCCCAUACAAGACUGGAGGGGUAUAGCAAACAAUUGCUUUCCCUACGGAAGCACUCAUUCUCGUUCCUCUCACUCUUUCAGCAGCAAGGCGGGAGCUCAUUUCUCUUUUAAAAAUGAGAAUCCAUCGUAUUCUACACUUUUCUUUUGUUUUACAUUAUGUUUCUUUCAGAUAAGUAUCACCUCAAAUGAGUGAUCUGCCCCGGUCUUGUCCUCUUCCCUAUGCCCCAAAAACACUUGCAAGAGGCCAUAUCCGUAGAGGUAGGUAUAAUGGCAUUAGAAGUUAUGACAAUGGUUCUGUUCUAGACACUAUGGUGGGUAGAGCUAAUUAAAACUAAGAACAAGUCAAAGAAUAAUUAUUGGGCAUUUGAUGAAGACAUGGCAUUGUCCAGGUGUCUGGGGAAAUAGGGUUUAAUGAGUAAUAGUACAUAUAUACAAAAUGGUAAUAUGAUACUGAUUGUAUUACACUCUAAGAGAGGUAUAAAUAAGGCUAAUGGGGAUAAUAGAGAUUAGUUUUGAUGGUGGGGGUCAGAGAGGGGAGUACAAAGUAGAGAAUACUGGUCAAAGGAGAAUAUGGAAUGUGUGGGGAGGAUUCUCUGCCUCAUUGAUUUAGAUAAAUCCAGAGGGAGUGCCAACUUCCCACGUAGGCCCUGGGGUCCAUGAACACAGAUGCCAAACAGAUCAGGCAGGUACCGUAAAUACGUGAAUCCAGCCAUGUGUAAGGCAGUUGGGAAUGGUAGAACUUGUGAUGAACUGAGGGUAUGUCUACCAAAAUUCUAUUUCAUAUUAAAAAUUCAUAGUCAAACAAUUCAAGUCAUUGCCUGCAAAUCUUCUCUGUCAUCCAAAGGUCUUCCUGUGCCUCUAAGUUUAGACCCAACCACCUCCUCCAGCCCAAAGAGAGACCCAAGCUUUCCUCCAAUGACACAGUCACAUCUGCAUAACUAACAGAGUCCUCUAGAAUUGGUGCUCUGGAACUAUGAUAGAGGUAGGCCUCAGAGACAAAUAUACUUUUCCACAGUGGAAGACCAGAUUCGUUAAAAGUCAGUUUUGUUAGCCUCCACAGGAUAUUCCAUCACUCACGGGCCACAAAACCAGCAGUGGAAGAGCUGGCAGAGUUAGCUCAGUCUGUCAUUGCUCCAGGGGUGUUUCUGGAAUCUGAGGGCUGCAGCAGGCUGAAGAGAAAGAGGAAUGCCACUGCUUCAUGUGUUGGACUCUUGAGUAAGAUCCUGUCUGAAGAAAGAAGACCUUUGAAUAUUUUUACAAUGGAGACAAGCAAAUUGCAUCCACCUCUUCAGAGAAGAACUUGGCUGUGAUGCCCUGCCUUGGUCUUCCUUCUAGUAUUCCUGUGAGGGAAAACUCCACUGCUCUCAUUUGCUAAUGACCCUCGACUCAGAACCCUUCACUCUUGGUCACCACAUAUGUAGGCAUUUCCUCACACCAAACCUCUAAUUCUUGGCAGAGACUGACUGGGUGGCUUACAAAUUUAACCCAAUUCUGACUUCUAGGAGAAGGGCUCAGUCCUGCAAGGCCGCCCUCACCUCAGAUGAUAAUCUCAAGUGGAGCUUGUCACCUGUACCCUUGACGGACCAGCUAUAAAUCAGGGUUCCUAUGGCCCUCUCUUCAGGCACAAGAAAGAUAAAGCUCUUUGUCUAACACUUUACCAGUUCUUCCUGCUGUGGGAUUCCUGGAAGACGACCUUGCUCAGCCUCAGACAACCCUUUCCAGGAUGCAUUUGUGUCAUCAGCUCUUCUUCCAACAGAAUUUAGAUGGUAAUAGUCGCAAAUUAAUUCAUUGCAUGAGUCAAUGCAGAAAGUGACCAAGAUUAUGGAUUUUCUUUGACCUUUGACAAUUUAUGGGUCAUUUGGAAGGAGUGGAAGUUGACCAUGAAUGUUUGAUUAUUUUGACUGGUUAGAUGACUGAGUGGCAGAAAGUUGUUGAAGGUAUUUACCAAACUCCAAUCUAAGAUCCCUGGGGAUUCAUGAACAUCCUAGGAGAAUCAACCUAGCAGGCCUCAAAGAGAAGCUGGACUUAUUUUCCACCGUGACCUAGUCUGAACUUCAUGGGAUCAGAAAUUCUGAAGAAGUACAGAACUAUUUGAGAAAAUGAAAUCACUCUUUCGGAAGCAAUUCACUCAUUUUGGUGCUAUGAAUCAUGCUGUAAGCUUCUUUGCUUGCUUGAUGCUUGAACACUGCAGGUUCCUAAAUGAUCAACUAUCUGUCCUAGCCAUGUCACUCAGUUUCUGGAGUCUUGGUGUUCAACCCUGGGGCAAUGUCUGUGUUUUCAUGGCUCUGUGACAGUACACUCCAUUUUGUUGACACAGAGACCCGUCCUCCAUAAUGUAAACCUAGUGUCAAAACUGCAAUGGUUCCUGACUGAAUAUACCCUCAGUUCUCAAAAAGAUUGAGUUAUUGAGUUGGUCAAAUACUGGUAUUCUUCCCUGAACUCAUCGUUAAGGAUUGACUAACCAUAGGCUAAAAGCUAUGUUUUUAUGUGUUGAAAUUUGGCUAACCUGCCUUUUUUUUUUUUUAAGAUUUUAUUU